This 229-nucleotide ribosomal RNA is filed under the name uncultured bacterium. RNAcentral describes it as "partial 16S ribosomal RNA". It matches the Rfam family "Bacterial small subunit ribosomal RNA", at positions 15 to 235 of the family's 1533-position model. The record is from RNAcentral.
GAUCCUGGCUCCGGAUGAACGCUAGCUACAGGCUUAACACAUGCAAGUCGAGGGGCAGUAUGGUCUUAGCUUGCUAAGGCCGAUGGCGACCGGCGCACGGGUGAGUAACACGUAUCCAACCUGCCGUCUACUCUUGGACAGCCUUCUGAAAGGAAGAUUAAUACAAGAUGGCAUCAUGAGUUCACAUGUUCACAUGAUUAAAGGUAUUCCGGUAGACGAUGGGGAUGCG